AUGUACCUCGUGGAUGACGACACUCCCAGUUCCAUUUCAAAAGCUUAUGCAUCUCCGGAUGCUGACUACUGGAAGGAUGUGGUCCGUAGCGAGAUGGAUUCCAUCAUGGUUAAUGGGACAUGGGAGAUCACUGAUCGUCCUUAUGGUUGCCAACCAUUGGGAUGUAAGUGGGUGUUCAAGAGGAAGCUUAGGCCCGAUGGUACUGUUGAGAAGUACAAGGCUAGGCUUGUGGCCAAGGGUUAUACCCAAAAGGAAGAAGAGGAUUUCUGCGAUACCUACUCACAUGUGGCUAGGCUGACAACCAUUCGAGUGUUACUCGCUUUGGCUACCUCACAUGGUCUUCUCGUUCAUCAGAUGUACGUUAAGACGACUUUCCUUAACGGAGAGCUAGACGAGGAAAUUUACAUGUAA
This 411-nucleotide ribosomal RNA is filed under the name Triticum aestivum (bread wheat). RNAcentral describes it as "partial small subunit ribosomal RNA". Lineage: Eukaryota; Viridiplantae; Streptophyta; Magnoliopsida; Poales; Poaceae. The record is from RNAcentral.